GUCCAUUUCUGGAACUGCUAUUUGUGUAUUGCAUGAUAUUUUAUCAGGGAAAAAAAAAAAUAAAACUGAGAUCCAAUUUCAUGAAAAUGCUGUUGCCGUAUGCCCAGGAGGACAGGGGGAGGAGAGAAUCAAGUCUUCCUCCAUCUACCUCACGCGCAGAUGUGCUGACUGAUGGAGAUAUGAGUGGCUUGACAACCAUGAUUCCAGCAGAGACUCAACACAGCUAUGCUCUGCUCUUCUGCUUCAGUUCUGAUGUUGUCUCCCUUAGGGGACACGCCGAACAAAAUCUUCCAACCUAGCAUGAGCACGCCCAUGAAUCAUCUCCUCGGCCGAGGAAGAGACUCUCUGAGAAGAAGCCCAGCAGCACCAACAUUAAAGAUCAACAGUAAACAAAUGGGACAUCAUGACACUUAAACAGGUUAUGUAGUUCAGCAAAGGACAUCAUCAUUUGAGUACAGAGGAAGCAUGUCGAAUGGGAGAGAUGCUUACCAACUAUACACCUGACAGAAGAGUCAUAUCUUGACAGAAAAUUCAUAUCUAGAAUAUACAAAAAAGAAUCUCAUAAACAACUAAGUAUGAAGGAAAAAAAUCCCAGUUAAAAUAUAAAGCAUGAAACUUAACAGUUCUCAAAAGAUAUGAAUGAAAAUGCAAAUGAAUGAAAAAAUAAUUUACUAAAUGUUUGACCUCUUUAUCUAGUAGAGAAAUGCAAAUUAAAACUGCUUUGAAAUUCCAUAAACUAGUAAGAACAGUUAAGUACCAAAACAACAAAUAACAGCAUAUGCUGAUAUGGAUAUGGAAAAAGGAGAAUACUUGUUGCUGGUGGAAGUGCAAACAGGUGCAAACUAUGGAAAGCAGUGUAGAGUUUCCUUACAAAGUUUAAAAUAGAUUUCCUGGCGGCGGGAACCUGGGUAGUCAACGGCUUGUGGAGCAACAUGCUUAAGUUUUAUUGUGACUACCGUGAUAUGUAUCUUACCCACGAUUCUCCUCUGUGGGGAAGACACACUGCAGUGGCCGGAAACACAAAGAGAAUGUGAAAGACUGUUACCAGAAGUGGAUGAAGAGCAGGCCCAGAACCUCAAUGACAAAACAACGCCUGCAUUUCAACAAAGAUCCCUCCAGCUCCGUUCUCUGCUCCUCUGCCUGCAGGGGCCAUGAUCCCACCUCCCCCUGCCCCAAACCCCAGUCUCCCGGGUCCUUCUCGGCCUGUCAUGAUGCCUACAUCCCUCAUGGAAGGCCCUCCGGUGAUGCCAAUGCUGCCCACCCCCCUCCUCCUGGGAUGAUGCCUGUGGGACCAGCUCCUGGGAUGAGACCGCCCAUGGGAGGCCACAUGCCCAUGAUGCUCGGGACUCCAAUGAUGAGACCUCCCGCCUGCCCUAUGAUGGUGCCCACACGGCCUGGCAUGACCCAGCCAGACAUAAGAGCAGAAGCGCUCUUUAUCAUUUUGUAUUCCUGUUCUGUUUCACCAGGAGAUCUUGGUGCUGAGCCUGAGUGUUUACGAGAUGCAUGACAAGGAAACUUCCCUUCCUAUCAGAGAGAAUAUUUUUGGAGGGAGAAGUGAUACCAAAAAGUGCAGUUUUUACUUAUUUUGUAAAAUGUGAAAAUAAAUACUCAAAGCACUCUAUAUCUUACUACAGGGACACUUGUUCAUCAAUGUUCAUUACUGCUCUCCUUAAAUAGCCAUGGGAAAGAAAAGGUCAAGGUGACCAUCAACUGAUGAAUGGGUAAUGAAAAUUGGGGUGCAUUUAAACAACGAGAAAAUAGUCAACUGUUAAGAAAAUGAAAUUGUAGGUAAAGGGACAGAAGCCAAGAAAAUAAAAUGUUACAUAUUUUCUCUCAUGUGUGGAUGUUAGCUUUGAAUCUUUAGAUAUGUGUGUGUUUCCUUUGGAAUACCAUGGAGGUCAGGAAAUUAGUAAGGAGUUAUCAGGCUGGCAUUUAAGGGAGAGGAAAUAGAAUACAGUGAAAUAAAGGGUUACAGAGUUAGAGGCAAAUAGUGAACAGGGAGGAAUAAUUGGUGGGAGAUGGGAGGACAAUGGGAAGGGAUAAGUAACACUAAAGAUCAAUUAUAAAUGACAUUAAAAUGUGUUACUGGAGAAGCUUGCUAAAACAUGUAUGUGCACAUAUAGUUUUGGUGGAGGUACCCUAUAAAGGAGAGAUUAGACACAGAUUGCUAACAAAUACGAUAACCAACACUUCUUUGUGAAUUGUUAGUGAGAUUCCAUAGACCUUCAAGCAUCAAAUGCCACUGCAAACACUCCUAACUACCCUCCAGAAAUUGACAGUAAGACCCCACUGCUGAAGACACCACAUUUAAGUCAUAAAACAUGAAAAUCAAGCUAGCACUUGCUUAAAACCUUGUCUCCUCCUAGCUAGCUUACAAAAAGGUAGAUAGUGAUAUCCAAGCUACCCAAAGAGAAAAUUCAAUAUAAGUCUCACCCAGCUAUAAACCCUGCAAGUUACAAUAAAGACUAGUCUGACAAAAUAUGCUCAGUUGGGAAAUAUUGAUGUGUGUAUAUGUGUUAUGGAACUAUGUGUGUAUAUGUGUAUAUAUACAUAUAUGUGUGUAUAUGUGUAAUGAACUACUUUCUUGUUGGAUUCAAGGCAUGCUCCAUAAGAUGGAAUCCAUUUCUGGUACUGUUAGUGGGGUCAAGAACAUGUGGCUAGAAAGAUCAUAGACACCAAGGAAAAACCUACUUCUAUUUAUCUGCUAAUCAUAGUAUGAAAAGACUCCUAAUGACUUGUUGCUAUAACCAUUAAAAAAUGCAUUU
This is an RNA transcript of Mus musculus (house mouse), 2765 nucleotides long. It is a transcript of the gene named RIKEN cDNA B230303A05 gene, with no coding region annotated. Lineage: Eukaryota; Metazoa; Chordata; Mammalia; Rodentia; Muridae. The record is from RefSeq and is marked validated. The transcript has 4 exons.